This 268-nucleotide ribosomal RNA is filed under the name uncultured bacterium. RNAcentral's name for it is "partial 16S ribosomal RNA". It matches the Rfam family "Bacterial small subunit ribosomal RNA", at positions 88 to 354 of the family's 1533-position model. The record is from RNAcentral.
CCGGCGACCGGCGCACGGGUGAGUAACACGUAUGGAACCUGCCCGCAGCAGGGGGAUAAGCGGAAGAAAUUCCGUCUAAUACCGCGUAACAACGUUGGGAGGCAUCUCCCGAUGGUUUUAAAGAUUUAUCGGCUGCGGAUGGCCAUGCGGCGCAUUAGCUAGUCGGCGGGGUAACGGCCCACCGAGGCGACAAUGCGUAGGGGUUCUGAGAGGAAGGUCCCCCACACUGGUACUGAGACACGGACCAGACUCCUACGGAAGGCAGCAG